GAUGAACGCUGGCGGCGUGCCUAAUACAUGCAAGUCGUGCGAACGGACGAGAAGCUUGCUUUUCUGAUGUUAGCGGCGGACGGGUGAGUAACACGUGGAUAACCUACCUAUAAGACUGGGAUAACUUCGGGAAACCGGAGCUAAUACCGGAUAAUAUUUUGAACCGCAUGGUUCAAAAGUGAAAGACGGUCUUGCUGUCACUUAUAGAUGGAUCCGCGCUGCAUUAGCUAGUUGGUAAGGUAACGGCUUACCAAGGCAACGAUGCAUAGCCGACCUGAGAGGGUGAUCGGCCACACUGGAACUGAGACACGGUCCAGACUCCUACGGGAGGCAGCAGUAGGGAAUCUUCCGCAAUGGGCGAAAGCCUGACGGAGCAACGCCGCGUGAGUGAUGAAGGUCUUCGGAUCGUAAAACUCUGUUAUUAGGGAAGAACAUAUGUGUAAGUAACUGUGCACAUCUUGACGGUACCUAAUCAGAAAGCCACGGCUAACUACGUG
RNAcentral lists this ribosomal RNA (497 nucleotides) under uncultured bacterium. Its description in RNAcentral is "partial 16S ribosomal RNA". It matches the Rfam family "Bacterial small subunit ribosomal RNA", at positions 28 to 507 of the family's 1533-position model. The record is from RNAcentral.